Mus caroli (Ryukyu mouse) is the source of this 1552-nucleotide non-coding RNA. The record is from RefSeq and is a predicted model, not a curated record. NCBI's taxonomy places the organism in Eukaryota, Metazoa, Chordata, Mammalia, Rodentia, Muridae.
AAUUUGGAUGCAUGUAUUCACCAAGUUGUCAAUAUGCUUUGUCCUGUUGAGUAGGGGACCUGUAUGCGAAUGAAUGAAAGAGCCAAGAAGGAAUGACAGUUAAAUAAACAGAGCAUAAAACAGGCACAAAACUAUUCUCACUGGGAAAAAAUAAAACAGAAUGUUCUAGAACUUAGAUGAUAAGACUAAUGGAAUGGAAGCAUUUCAUUCCAGAGCUGACAUACCAGUGAAAAUUUGAACACGAGGUUUAGAAAAGAUCUGGCUGUGAAUCACUGAGUUUUGACCAUAGAGUACUCUGUUGAGCAAUACUGCAUUUUCCUGGGAUCCAACCACACGGACUGUGAGCUUCCUUCACUCAACAUCUGUUGCCAAGGGGAAUGACCAUUAGUUCUCACACUGCAAACGUUACCUCUCAAACAAGAACCAAAUGGGAAUCUAUAACUCUUUGAGUUCUCACCUAAAGCUUCCACAACUGUUCCUGAGCUGGCACCAGAACGGCGGCCAUCACCAGAGCAGUUCUGAGCAACGGCCUACAUUGAGAAGGCUUUCAUUGUGAUGAAGGGGUGGCCGUGGUGAAAGAUAAAAGAUCUGGAAAAAAUAAAUGAACAUAUGAAGAAAAGGGAGUGAGUCCCAGUCCUGUGGAAGAUGAGGUGUGAUGGAAACGAAGUACUUAUGAGCUGAGUCCUCUUCCACCUCAAUUCUUACCAACCCCCAGGAACACAAACUGAUCAAAUGGGCAAUGAAUGUUUAAGAAUUGUAUUCACUUCAGUGUCUUCAGUUGAUAAUGCUUGACAGUUGAUAGAUGCUCGAUAGUAUUGUGAGUUGAAACCCUUCAUAAAAUGUGCCUCUUUGCUCCUGAAUCUGAGAUCCAGUUUUGAUCCAUCCAUGAAAAGCUGGGUUGGAAACUGGGUCUUGGGUCUCCCAAGGACCCGAGGGAGGAUUAUACCAGUUUGCUUAUGUGUCUGCCCUCCCCUACGAGAUGGUGAGGACCAUGAAUCCGGAACUGUACCCCAACAUCCAGUGAAGGAUCUCAUGGUUAUAAUAUUGGCCACAUCAUAAAUGAGCUUCAAUUUUUUGGUUCGGAACAUCUUAACCCAUUUUCGGAAGGUUUGUUUGAUGGUUGAAGAGGACAUUCGAUUGGCUAUUUCUUUAAAAAGUUUACGGGUUUUCGCUGCCAACUCCUUGAUCAGAGGGUCUUCCACCCGGGUCAAUCGUUCAAUAACUGCAACAGCAGAGGGGUCCUUAGUUCAAGGUCUAGCUAAUUUCAAGCAACAGUGCUUCCUGGAUGCCCAUCAACUUAUGAACAGACAACAACUGUGGCACAUGUAUACACAGGGAUUUUAUUUGGCUGCUAAGAAAAAUAAACUUGUGAAAAUUUCAGGUGCUUCCUGGAUGCCCAUCAACUUCAGUCCAGAGACUGCCCCACCUGAGGAUCCAUCCCAUAUACAGUCACCAAAUCUAGAUACUUUUUGUGGACAGCAACAAGUGCUUACUGACAGAAGCCUGCUAUAGCUGUCUCUGGAAUAGGCUCCACCAGUGCCUGACAAAUACA